RNAcentral lists this long non-coding RNA (1929 nucleotides) under Prunus dulcis (almond). Its description in RNAcentral is "sRNA ncRNA". The record is from RNAcentral. Lineage: Eukaryota; Viridiplantae; Streptophyta; Magnoliopsida; Rosales; Rosaceae.
CCCUUCCCUUAGAACCGUACUUGAGAGUUUCCGACCUCAUACGGCUCAGCGGUCAAAUUCUUUUGGUGUCCUAUUUUUUCAUUACCCUAUACUAAUUAAAUGAGAUUUCUCAGAGAUAUAUCCCAUUUUUUUUUUUUCUCUAGUUAACCAAAAGAAAGAGGUUAAUUACAUCAGUUUCAAACUAAAAUUUUUAUUAAUAAUCAGUUUUAUCUUUUCUCCCACCUUCAGAAAAAUAAAGCAUAAGCGUUUUCACUAUUAUUCGAAUUUUCUGAAAGGUAACUAUCUCGGUUUCAUAUAUAAAUUUAUAUAGAAUCUUUGAAAAAGGCCUUCCUUCAUAAGAAGGAAAAGACUUACCAUCUUUGGGAUCUGAUGCUACACCGCUGCUCAAUACCUUAGGGGAUCGACUCUAUUACAUAAGUGGAUUCCUAACUUUUAUCUCAUAUCAUGACAUAAGUAAGCAGUUCUUAUUGUAUCGGACCAAAACCUCGCGAAUUGAUCUUUACGGCGCUUCCUCUAUCAAUUAGAUCCUUUAUCCAUAGAAUAAAAGUAAAGUAUCUAGGCAUACCUAUUUCUUCAUAUUCAUAUUUCGACUUUUAUGAAGUUUAUUUCUUUGCUACAGCUGAUAAAAAUCGUUGUUUUGAACGAUACAUAUGUAGAAAGCCUACUCUUUGUUUCUAGUAUUUAUUAACGUUAACGGAUUUUUUCUUUCUUUCCUUUUUUUAUUUCUAUAGUGGAGAUAGUCGCACGUAAUGACAGAUCACGGCCAUAUUAUUAAAAGCUUGUGGUAAGAAUGGGUUUCGCUCUAGGGCCCGAAAAUAAUAUUCCAAAGCUUUCGUAUGUUCCCCGUUACUUGUGUGGAUAAGGCCUAUGUUAUAGAGUAUAUAACUUCGAUCAUAAGGAUCAAUUUCUAGUCGCAUAGCUUCAUAAUAAUUCUGUAAAGCUUCCGCAUAAUUUCCUUCGGAUUGAGCCGACAUCCGUUACGGUCGCCAUUCGAUUCAAAGAAUCUCCGUUUCAGAACCGUACAUGAGAUUUUCAUCUCAUACGGCUCCUCCUUUAUGUGCAUAAUGAUAAUAAUACAUGGAAUCAAAAAGACUGAAAUAUUCUCAUUAUAAACUAAGCGGGGCUGGUGUUUUUACAAGAAAUCUCUAGCCAACCUUCUUGUAGAAGAUCUUUCCUUAACAUCAAGCAUGUUGGUAUUAGAUAAAAAAAAGUUACUCCAACAAUUUCUUUGUCUUCAACGCCCUUAAAUUUGCAGGAAUUAGUCACUUCAACAGUCUUCGAUGGUUAUACGGGUAUCCAAAAUACGAACGAGAUGGAUGUUUGUUGUCCCAACCAUUGUUAGUCCCGAUCCUGAUAAGGAAAAGGGAUAAUUUAUAACAAAGUUUUCGUGUGUUGAUUCCUAGGAGUAGUGCUUCUUCCCCUAUGCCCCCUAUUGGUACUAGUGGAGUAGGGUUGACCUAACCCAUAGGUGUAACCUUUCGCUCAAUACUCUAGAAUCGACAAUUGAAGCAUCUGAGGCUGCAUUAAUCGGGGAUACACGACAGAAGGCGUUGUUUUAUUUACAAACUUCACCUUCAACAAGCGUAGAUUUAUUUCCAUAAUUUUUUUCUUCCUAUCCCGAAUAAUGUUGUCUUUCUCUUAAGACUGAGAGCGGUAAAAAUAAAAAAAAUAAUCAAAUCGCACCAUCUCUGUAAUAGGUGAAUGCCUCUUUUUCUCCCGAAGUUGUCGGAAUUAUUCGUAAUAAGAUAUUGGCUACAAUUGAAAAGGUUUUAUCAAUAAAAUUUCCAUUUAUCCCAGAUCUAGACAUAGGUGUAUUAAUCCAUUCUAUAAUUUAUUUUAAUUCCCUUUCGUGAGAAAACGAUCCCACAAACAAAGGAAUUGUGCAGUACGAAAUAACAUAAAAAUGGAUUCAUUAAAAAGGAAGACCUU